Molecule: ribosomal RNA, 388 nt
Filed under: uncultured bacterium
Lineage: Bacteria
Description: bacterial SSU rRNA
Rfam family: Bacterial small subunit ribosomal RNA
Source: RNAcentral
GACGAACGCUGGCGGCGUGCUUAACACAUGCAAGUCGAGCGGUAAGGCCCUUUCGGGGGUACACGAGCGGCGAACGGGUGAGUAACACGUGGGUGACCUGCCUUUAGCUCUGGGAUAAGCCUGGGAAACUGGGUCUAAUACCGGAUACGACUCCGCGGUGCAUGCUGUGGGGUGGAAAGCCUUGUGCGGCUGGAGAUGGGCCCGCGGCCUAUCAGCCUGUUGGUGGGGUGAUGGCCUACCAAGGCGACGACGGGUAGCCGGCCUGAGAGGGCGACCGGCCACACUGGGACUGAGACACGGCCCAGACUCCUACGGGAGGCAGCAGUGGGGAAUCUUGCGCAAUGGGCGAAAGCCUGACGCAGCGACGCCGCGUGAGGGAUGACGGCCU